UCUUUUUACUUCCUGAAUGACACAAUAUCGGUAAAGAAAUCUGAGAAAUUUGUUAGGAAAAUACGAAACCGGUUAGUUGUCCAAAAACAAUAUCACUACACACAAAAUUUUAUAACAUUUUCCUAACAUGA
Molecule: long non-coding RNA, 131 nt
Organism: Octopus sinensis (East Asian common octopus)
Lineage: Eukaryota; Metazoa; Mollusca; Cephalopoda; Octopoda; Octopodidae
Exons: 3
Source: RefSeq, a predicted model, not a curated record